CAAGCGGUGGAGCAUGUGGUUUAAUUCGACGCAACGCGAAGAACCUUACCUGGGCUCGAAAUGUACCGGAAUCCGGCAGAAACGUCGGCGUCUAGCAAUAGACCGGUAUAUAGGUGCUGCAUGGCUGUCGUCAGCUCGUGUCGUGAGAUGUUGGGUUAAGUCCCGCAACGAGCGCAACCCUUAUCUCCAGUUGCUACCAUUUAGUUGAGCACUCUGGCGAAACCGCCUCGGAUAACGGGGAGGAAGGUGGGGAUGACGUCAAGUCCUCAUGGCCUUUAUGUCCAGGGCUACACACGUGCUACAAUGGCCGGUACAAACCGCUGCAAACCCGCGAGGGGGAGCUAAUCGGAAAAAGCCGGCCUCAGUUCGGAUUGGAGUCUGCAACUCGACUCCAUGAAGCUGGAAUCGCUAGUAAUCGUGGAUCAGCAUGCCACGGUGAAUACGUUCCCGGGCCUUGUACACACC
RNAcentral lists this ribosomal RNA (465 nucleotides) under uncultured bacterium. RNAcentral describes it as "bacterial SSU rRNA". It matches the Rfam family "Bacterial small subunit ribosomal RNA", at positions 926 to 1391 of the family's 1533-position model. The record is from RNAcentral.